CCGAAAAUUUUUGAGCUUUACACGAAUUGUUAAGAACAAAUAUUCUAUGUGUCAAUAUAUUUAUGUAUAUAAAUUUAGGUAAAGAAGCUACAUACUCUCGCAUUGGUUUAUAUCUGAUUUAUUGGGGUCUCAUAUAGUGAGCAUAUCUACGUUUAGAUUUAAAACUAAUAAGGGUAAGCUUUAUUAUAUUUAUUAUUUAAUAUCUUGUCUCUUUUUCAGGCUUUUAAGCAGCCCACUCACGUAAUAGUGAUCUUAUAUUAUAUUAUUAAAAAUACAACAACAACCAAUAUACUUUAACAAACAAAAUUAACAUUAAUAAUGGUAGAACAAAUAAUUUUAAACUUCUAAUUGUAAGAAUUAAAAAAAAAUCCCACUUAUUUUAAAUAUCUAUACAUAUAUAAAAAAGGAAUUUAGCAAACCAUAUUUUCGACUGUUUAUCAAAAACACUGCCACUAGAUCCUUCAUUAGUGGUCAAUUCUGCCCAGUGAAUUUUUAAAAUAAACGGCCGCGGUAAUUUUGACCGCGCUAAGGUAGCACAAUAAUGAGCCCUCUAAUUAAGGGAUAGAAUGAAUGAUUUAACGAAAAACAUACUGUCUCUUUUAUAAAAAUUGAAACUUGUUUUUGGGUGAAAAACCCCAAAUACCUCACAAAGACAAAAAGACCCUAUAAGCUUUAUUUUAGUAUUAUAUAAAUCUUUAAAAAUAUUUAAUUGGGGCGAUCUUAAGUAAAAAACAUUUAUAACUUAUAAGGUUUAUACUCCUCUAAAUCUAUCUCUAAACACACAAGUAAGUUACUGUAGGGAUAACAGGCCAAUUCUUCUUUAGAGAACAUAUCGACAGAAGAGCUUAGCACCUCGAUGUUGGCUUAGGAUUCCUUAAUUACGCAAAAGUAAUAUAAGGGGGUUUGUUCAACCUUUGAUCUCCUACAUGAGCUGAGUUCAGACCGACGCAAGUCAGGUUAGUCCCUAUCUUGUAAAAAUAUCAUAGUAGUACGAAAGGACC
Molecule: ribosomal RNA, 1001 nt
Filed under: Typosyllis antoni
Lineage: Eukaryota; Metazoa; Annelida; Polychaeta; Phyllodocida; Syllidae
Description: 16S ribosomal RNA
Rfam family: Bacterial large subunit ribosomal RNA (bases 621-1001)
Source: RNAcentral